This is a non-coding RNA of Manis javanica (Malayan pangolin), 1530 nucleotides long. Lineage: Eukaryota; Metazoa; Chordata; Mammalia; Pholidota; Manidae. The record is from RefSeq and is a predicted model, not a curated record.
UAGAGUGAGCACCCGGUACUGUGGAAACUGCUCACAACUGUAUAGGCGCACCGGGUGCAAGCCAGGAGGGACUCCCUUCAGCCUUCUUGCCUGCCUUCGUUCACGCGUUCAUUUAUUCAUCCCACCUUAUUCAGCACCUCGUGAGCCCCAAGGAGUUGAGAAAGCCCUCUGCGCCUCUGUAUCCAGACGUCCAAGGGUUAAGCAGGCGGCGCGGGCCCCUGCGUCCCCGCCCCGGCCACCCCGGCGUGGGGAAGGCGGGAAGGCUGCAGCGGGUGCCAAAGUCAGAACCUGCUGGUCGGCAGCUCCGGCGCUGCCUUGACUCGGGGCCAGGCCUGGCGCGGCCCCCGGCUGUGGAAUGUGUUAGCGCCAUGUGUCACCGCCCCAGACUGUGGGAAAACGCUGCUCUGCUCACCUCCCAGCAGCUGCCCCGCGCCCGCCCGGGCUGAGCCGGGAAAUGGGAGCCGCCUGCCGCCAAGGCCCCGGGGGCAUUGGAGCCUCUGCGAGGCCCACACCCACCGGCGCCCCGUCUGCUCCUGGGACCAGCGAGGAAUGGGGCAGCCCAUGGGGCCUCUCCUGCCCUUCAGAUUCCGGCAGAACGAUCUAGUCUCUUUCUGUUUAAUUAGUGUUCUGCCAGGGGCUGUGGAGACAGAGCCAAGAAUGGACACCAAGAAGCAAGUGUCUCAGUGAGAUACGUGUUCAACAAGGGCUGAGAAUAUUUAAACCCUUUCCAGAUGAAAUAUCCAUUCUGUUAUCAUUCUCCCUCGUCCAAGCCAAUACAAGUUCUCACCAUACUGAGCUGCCUCUACUUGCCUGCAGUGCUGGAGUGCAAAGAAGUUCUGAGAAAUGGUCAAGGACUUGGCCCUGCAGCCACAGAUGAAAUCACCUGUGGAUCCCAAAAGUUUUCAACAAUGAAGGCAGAAGAGGCCUUGGGAAGGCAGAGUGCUGCUUCCAUGAAUCUAGUGGGCCACAGAUGGACUGCCAGGGCUCUAUAAACUCUCUAAAUUGGAAAAGCCAAUGAAUGGUCUUUCUCGAACAUUCAGGAAUAGGAGUCCUUGUUCUCCCCAAGCUGAGCCCUUGAUAUUCCUGAGGUGGACUGAGAUGUUCCACCUUUAAAAUCGAAUAGUAGUGGCCUGUUCCCCAAUUCAGGUUGCUAAUAGCCUGGCAAGUCCACGGAGAGCCUGGAGCUCUCAAGAUCGGCUCUCAUGUGCAGACACUGAGACAAAGAGGCCAGGGGCUAUUUGCCAUCUCCUUCCUCACACUCUCUGGAAAUGCUUGUGAGCAGCAAACAACAUUUUAUGAUGUACUUUGCUGCAUUAACAAUUGAACAGAAUAAUUCUGUUACCUCUCAUAAACUAGAAAUAGUAGACAAUCUGGAUAAAAAGAAAGACAAUAAAAAUCAUUUAUAAAUUCAUCAUCUACAGAUGACAAUCUGGUGUUGUCCAUGCAGACUUUUUUCCUCAGUGUAUUUCGUAUUUCUGUGGCUAGGGGAGAUACAUACAUGCAUACAUACACGCACAUAAGCAUUUUGUC